RNAcentral lists this long non-coding RNA (503 nucleotides) under Homo sapiens (human). RNAcentral's name for it is "HSALNT0342873". The record is from RNAcentral. Lineage: Eukaryota; Metazoa; Chordata; Mammalia; Primates; Hominidae.
GUUUAUUUAAUAUCAUUGGAAGUUUUUGUUAUUGUACUUAAUAUGGGAGUGAUUCGUUUGAAAUGCCACUUAGGAGCUCACAGUCCACUGGGGAAGAGAAGCAGUUAGCAAAGCAUUCUAAUACAAUGUGGAAAGUCGAUAAUAGAGAGAGGAAUAAAGCGUCUUGGCUACAUUAAGAAGGGAAUACUAACCCUGCCUGAGGGAGCCUAGAAGGACUUCACUGAGGAAAUAACAUAUGCAUUAAUCCUUGAAGAAUGAGCAAUAAGUAGCCUACCAGGCAGAUAAUUUCAUUUAAAAAAAAAGAUUUUAUGCAUGGAGAGAGAAACACCAAAAUUAUGAAAAUGCAAGAGAGAAUAGCAUGUCUGGAGACUAAUAUCCUACAAACUUCAUCACAUGGUGAUGUGAAUAGUGAAAGAGAUUAUAGGAUUCUUCAGACUUCUGAUAGUGUCCAGAUUACUUCCAGUUGUAAGUAAUUUCCAGCAGAAUCUACAGCAUUUAUUCUC